RNAcentral lists this ribosomal RNA (620 nucleotides) under Eulimnogammarus verrucosus. RNAcentral describes it as "12S ribosomal RNA". Lineage: Eukaryota; Metazoa; Arthropoda; Malacostraca; Amphipoda; Eulimnogammaridae. The record is from RNAcentral.
UUAGCGCGGGUUUUCGGUUUUUCUUAUUUGGUUUGGACAUGCGGGUUAGCACUACUGUAGUCUAUAGAAUUAAUAGGUCUAUUAAGUUCAGAGGUUAAAUGGGUGCCAGCAUCUGCGGUUAUACUUAGUCUUAAAAAUUAAUUUAGGUGGGUUAUUUUUAAAAAAGUUUUAAUUUUUGGUGAAAUAGGUUUGGUUAAUUUUUUUUUAAGAGGUCAGGUCUAAUGGAACCAGGAUUAGAGACCCUGCUACUAUUUAUAAAAUCUAAUGCUUAUAGUUAUAAGUUACAUGGUUUGGCGGCUUAAUUGGUUUAGAGGAGUUUGCUUUGUAAUCGAUACAGCUCGUUGGCUUAUAUUUAGUUUAUUUAUGUACACCGUCAUUUAGUUAAUUUUAACAGAAAAAUUAAGGAGAGUUAGUCAAAUAGCUUAGAUCAAGGUGCAGAGCAGGUAAAAGAGAGUUAACUACAAUAUAAAGUAAUAGUAUAGGCAUAAGAAGGUGGUUGUUAAUAAGUGGAUUUAAUAGUAAUUAGUUAUGUUUGAUUUUAUUUAUUAAGUGUACAAAUUGCCCGUCAAUCUCUCAGAGAUAAGUCGAAACAAAGUAGAUUCGCCGGAAGGUCGAUCUAA